Molecule: ribosomal RNA, 424 nt
Filed under: Fusobacteriota bacterium
Lineage: Bacteria; Fusobacteriati; Fusobacteriota
Description: Fusobacteria bacterium partial 16S ribosomal RNA
Rfam family: Bacterial small subunit ribosomal RNA
Source: RNAcentral
UGAGGAAUAUUGGUCAAUGUGCGAGAGCCUGAACCAGCCAAGUAGCGUGCAGGAUGACGGCCCUAUGGGUUGUAAACUGCUUUUAUGUGGGGAUAAAGUGCGUGACGUGUCAUGCAUUGCAGGUACCACAUGAAUAAGGACCGGCUAAUUCCGUGCCAGCAGCCGCGGUAAUACGGAAGGUCCGGGCGUUAUCCGGAUUUAUUGGGUUUAAAGGGAGCGUAGGCUGUCUAUUAAGCGUGUUGUGAAAUUUACCGGCUCAACCGGUGGCUUGCAGCGCGAACUGGUCGACUUGAGUAUGCAGGAAGUAGGCGGAAUUCAUGGUGUAGCGGUGAAAUGCUUAGAUAUCAUGACGAACUCCGAUUGCGCAGGCAGCUUACUGUAGCAUAACUGACGCUGAUGCUCGAAAGUGCGGGUAUCAAACAGG